RNAcentral lists this transfer RNA (72 nucleotides) under Bos taurus (domestic cattle). It matches the Rfam family "tRNA". Rfam says of the family: Transfer RNA (tRNA) molecules are approximately 80 nucleotides in length. Their secondary structure includes four short double-helical elements and three loops (D, anti-codon, and T loops). Further hydrogen bonds mediate the characteristic L-shaped molecular structure. tRNAs have two regions of fundamental functional importance: the anti-codon, which is responsible for specific mRNA codon recognition, and the 3' end, to which the tRNAs corresponding amino acid is attached (by aminoacyl-tRNA synthetases). tRNAs cope with the degeneracy of the genetic code in two manners: having more than one tRNA (with a specific anti-codon) for a particular amino acid; and 'wobble' base-pairing, i.e. permitting non-standard base-pairing at the 3rd anti-codon position. Lineage: Eukaryota; Metazoa; Chordata; Mammalia; Artiodactyla; Bovidae. RNAcentral also lists the same sequence under 2 other names. The record is from Rfam by way of RNAcentral.
UCCCUGGUGACUCAGUGGUAAAGAACCUGCCUGCCAAUGCAGGAGACACAGGUUCCAUCCCUGGUCCGGGAA